CAAACUGUGAUGGUCAGAUCUCAGCCUUCUGAAUACCUAGGAUUACAGCUGUGAGCCACUGGCACUCAGAUUUUGUUUAGUUUCUUAUAAAAGGUUGGCUUCCUGAUCAGUUUUGUGUUGUGAUGUUCACACAUUUUGCCAAAAAUGCUUCUGCUGUGCUUUUAUUUUACUCUGCAGAACUCUUCAUGAAGAAGUUUUGAUGAAGCCAGUCACUGCUUACAAAACUUUCUACCUGUUCUGCCUAUUUAUAUACCUCUGAGUUGUCUAGCCCUACCCUGUCUGAUCCACGGCCUUCUUUAAAACAGGCAGUCCCCUAACUUAGAACAAGGUGAGGGUUCCACAGUUCUUUGUAAGUUUCCUGAUAUUUAGAAAUCAUUUUCCCAUAGGCACAUAGGUCCUACAUUCCUGCCAGCCCACAUAUACCUAACAUUAGACACAUGAUAAAUCUGAAUUUACCUACUACUUAUGGGGUUUCUAUAGAGAAAAUUGCUCAGGUUUUAAUUAGUACUAUCUAGGUCCUCAUUCUGCAGCUCCAACCAGGGGCAGAGUCACUUCCCCAAUCCUAAGAUCCUUGAAUGGAUGUAUUUUGAACUGAAAUCCCAGAGGUCAGAGUUCUGAAGGGCAGGCCAAUAAAUGGCACAUUCCAGUGUCAUUUGGGUCUCUCAACCAGUUUGUCUAAUCUUCCUUCCUUUGCACUGUGUUUCCCUGUUAAUCAGUGCAGAGCUCUUCUCUCUUCCAUAAUCUACUAAAAGUCUCCAUAAUUCUUCACCUGUACUUUUGCUGUGACCCUUUGAAUACUUGUGAAGUUUAAAAAAAAAUUUUGAUUCUUAACUAUAGUGAUAGAGGCUCACGAAAGAAUGUCUUCAGUUCUUCCUACAUGUACCACUUCACGAUCUCUAAGGAAAACCAAGAUGCCUUUCCACUAGUAUCACCUGCAACAGAUGCCUUUCCACUAGUAUCACCAAGUCCAUGGAUUACUUCAGUUUGUGUCCAGUUCUAGAUUCCACGAAUGAAGCAUCAGAAAAACCUGGAGAACAACAGUACCCUUCAAACCAGAGGGGAUCAAUAGGGGUCUUCAAAAGGCUGUUGAAGGAAGGGACUUAUGCUCAGAGCACAUAACAAUGUGCUCCAAGUAAGCCAGAACAAAAAGAAGACAUGGUUUUCUUGCUCAAAAAUCAAGAAAAAACUACCAUUAAAAUACAUGUGUUUCUCCUUUGUUCCAUAAUCUCUUGUAACUUUUCUAUUUGCUAUUUAAUGCUGUUCUAAGAAAAAAAUAAAACUUAUAAGUCUU
Molecule: long non-coding RNA, 1291 nt
Organism: Dipodomys spectabilis (banner-tailed kangaroo rat)
Lineage: Eukaryota; Metazoa; Chordata; Mammalia; Rodentia; Heteromyidae
Exons: 2
Source: RefSeq, a predicted model, not a curated record